CAUAAAGUAAAAAUUGGUAGAACAAAAGCAUAUGAAUGAAGUUGGAGGGUGGGAGAAAUUUUUUAAUUUUAUACUUCUUAUGGUAUAAAUUUUAAUACCAAAUGCAUGUUCUUUUUUAUCCACUUUUUUAUGGGUGCGUUGUAGUCAUGCAUAAUGGUGGGAUUUGCUGUCACAUAUUCAUACACACACACACUGUAACCGUAUCAUUUGACACUAUCACUCCCCAGCACUUCCUGCUCCCUCCCCACCUUGCAGCCCUUGGUCUCUUUCCUCUCCUGAUUUUCAUGAGAUCCCUGCCCCCACAUCUUCUUUUUUCUUUUUCCUCUCUAGCUUCCUUGUAUGAGAAGUAACAGAUGAUUUUUGACUUUCUGAGUUUGACUUGUUUCACUUAACAUGAUGGGUCUCUAGCUCCAUCCAUUUUCCUGCAAAUGACACCAUUUCAUUUUUCUUUAUGGCUGAGUGAAACUCCGUUGUGUAUAUAUACC
RNAcentral lists this long non-coding RNA (485 nucleotides) under Marmota monax (woodchuck). The record is from RNAcentral. Lineage: Eukaryota; Metazoa; Chordata; Mammalia; Rodentia; Sciuridae.